This 442-nucleotide ribosomal RNA is filed under the name uncultured bacterium. RNAcentral describes it as "partial 16S ribosomal RNA". It matches the Rfam family "Bacterial small subunit ribosomal RNA", at positions 338 to 795 of the family's 1533-position model. The record is from RNAcentral.
CCUACGGUGUGCAGCAGUGGGGAAUAUUGGGCAAUGGGCGCAAGCCUGACCCAGCAACGCCGCGUGAAGGAAGAAGGCCUUCGGGUUGUAAACUUCUUUUGUCGGGGAAGAGUAGACGAAGGUAAAUGCCGAAUAAGCCACGGCUAACUCCGUGCAAGCGGCCGCGGUAAUACGGAGGUUGCAGGCGUUGUCCGGAUUUCCUGGGGGUAAAGGGGGUGUAGCCGGGUUGAUAAGUCAGAUGUGAAAUCCUGCGGCUUAACCGCAGAACUGCCGGUGAAACUGGUGAGCUUGAGUACUGGAGAGGCAGACGGAAUUCCUAGUGUAGCGGUGAAAUGCGUAGAGAUUAGGAGGAACACCAGUGGCGAAGGCGGUCGGCUGGACAGCAACUGACGGUGAGGCGCGAAAGCGUGGGGAGCAAACAGGAUUAGAUACCCCUGUAGUC